CUCCUCUCAGUUAUACACAGCUUGCUUGCUUACCUGCUUGUGUAUUAUAUUAAAGAUUUUCCUUCUCAGUUUGACAUUUUGAACUCCAGGGAACAGCAAACCCAGGUUGUGUAAAGUCAGUAACUGGAGAUCUGAGUCAGCUCUCAAACCUGCCUCUGAAAGAGCAGAUCUGUUAUUGAUCAAGUAGUCUCCUGAUUAUACAAAUUAAAGUUAUUAUUGUUCGUUGUUGUCACGGCCAGGCGGAUCAGCUGCACGCUGAUCAGCACUCUCUCUGUUUCUCUCUCUUCCUCUCUCUCUCCGCUUCUCUCUCGCCAGGGCGGAACUCACUGUGGGUUCACGCCCUCGGCCCACGCCCUCGGGAGAUGAGACACCUGGGUCUCAUUAAGGUGAUCAGCAUUUAAGCCAGGAGGUGACUGCUGUUCGUCGCUGGAUCGUUGUCUACCACGCAGCUCCCUGGAUUUUCCCCCGUGUGAUUCCCGUGUGGCAGUGUCGGAGUGUGAGCCUGUGAUCGUGUGAGUGGAUAUUCUGAAGAACGCGUGCUUUCCCCUGGACUUCCCUGGAGACCCCUUCUCCCCUCACUCAGCUGUAUAUAGCACCCCCCGCACAUUCUUGUAUAUACACCUGGUGCAUUGUAAAUAAACCCUUCUUGUGAGCAUCAGAACCGGAGUCCUGCGCUUGAGUCCUCCUCCAAACCGUAACAGUUGUUGUGAUUUGGCGCUGUAUGAAUAAAACUGAAUUGAAAUAACAUUCAAUUUGUGGUUCUGUUGGCUUUUUUCUUGUUAGGUUGCGGCAAAAACGACAGUCCAGUGGUUUCUAUACUCAUUUGUUGCAACAACGGAGCCUACUCACUGUAACUAUACAUAUAUAUAUGCAUAAAUAUUUACAUCUUAU
Long non-coding RNA from Oreochromis aureus, 891 nucleotides. The record is from Ensembl. NCBI's taxonomy places the organism in Eukaryota, Metazoa, Chordata, Actinopteri, Cichliformes, Cichlidae.